AUAGGCAAAUCCGUGUCUCAUAUAGCCUGAGAACCGAGGCGGACCCGUUCAGGGGAAGUGGAUGAUCCCAUGCUGCCAAGAAAAACUUCGUAGUGAGUGUUAGAGCCGCCCGUACCCCAAACCGACACAGGUGAUCAGGUAGAGAAUACCAAGGCGAUCGAGUGAACCAUGGUUAAGGAACUCGGCAAAAUGCCCCCGUAACUUCGGGAGAAGGGGGGCCGGAUGCGUUACCUCACUUGCUGGGGGAAGCGUUGAUGGCCGCAGAGACCAGGCCCAAGCGACUGUUUACUAAAAACACAGGUCCGUGCGAAGAAGUAAUUCGAUGUAUUCGGACUGACGCCUGCCCGGUGCUGGAACGUUAAGGGGACAGGUUAGCUGGUUUAGGCCGGCGAAGCUUUGAACUUAAGCGCCAGUAAACGGCGGUGGUAACUAUAACCAUCCUAAGGUAGCGAAAUUCCUUGUCGGGUAAGUUCCGACCUGCACGAAUGGCGUAACGACUUGGGCGCUGUCUCAACCAUGGACUCGGCGAAAUUGCAUUACGAGUAAAGAUGCUCGUUACGCGCAGCAGGACGGAAAGACCCCGGGACCUUUACUACAACUUGGUAUUGGUGGUCGGUACAACUUGUGUAGGAUAGGUGGGAGACUGUGAAAUCCGGACGCCAGUUCGGGUGGAGUCAUCGUUGAAAUACCACUCUGGUUGUUCUGGCUGUCUAACUUCGGUCCAUUAUCUGGAUCAGGGACAGUGCCUGGUGGGUAGUUUGACUGGGGCGGUCGCCUCCUAAAAGGUAACGGAGGCGCUCAAAGGUUCCCUCAGCCUGGUUGGCAAUCAGGUGUCGAGUGUAAGUGCACAAGGGAGCUUGACUGUGAGACAGACAUGUCGAGCAGGGACGAAAGUCGGAACUAGUGAUCCGGCGGUGGCAUGUGGGAGCACCGUCGCUCAACGGAUAAAAGGUACCCCGGGGAUAACAGGCUGAUCCUCCCCAAGAGUCCAUAUCGACGGGAUGGUUUGGCACCUCGAUGUCGGCUCGUCGCAUCCUGGGGCUGGAGUAGGUCCCAAGGGUUGGGCUGUUCGCCCAUUAAAGCGGCACGCGAGCUGGGUUUAGAACGUCGUGAGACAGUUCGGUCCCUAUCCGCUGCGCGCGCAGGAGACUUGAGAAGGGCUGCCCCUAGUACGGGGGGACCGGGGUGGACGAACCUCUGGUGUGCCAGUUGUUCCGCCAGGAGCACGGCUGGUUGGCUACGUUCGGGAGUGAUAACCGCUGAAAGCAUCUAAGCGGGAAGCACGCUUCAAAAUGAGGUCUCCCACCGAGUUAAUCGGGUAAGGCCCCCAGUAGACCACUGGGUUGAUAGGCCAGAGGUGGAAGCGCCGUAAGGUGUGGAGCUGACUGGCACUAAUAGGCCGAGGGCUUGUCCC
RNAcentral lists this ribosomal RNA (1414 nucleotides) under metagenome. RNAcentral describes it as "bacterial LSU rRNA". It matches the Rfam family "Bacterial large subunit ribosomal RNA", at positions 1532 to 2925 of the family's 2925-position model. The record is from RNAcentral.